RNAcentral lists this long non-coding RNA (1291 nucleotides) under Cyanistes caeruleus (blue tit). RNAcentral describes it as "lncRNA (ENSCCEG00000004617.1)". Lineage: Eukaryota; Metazoa; Chordata; Aves; Passeriformes; Paridae. The record is from RNAcentral.
AUGCUCUGCUCCUCUUGUCUUGCUCUGGCUUGUCUCCCACCAAUCCAGCCGCUGCUGUUUUCCAUCAGUCUGCAUCUCUCAGCUAGUGGCUGUGCUCUAGCAUUUCAAGGGUUUAAAGCUGCAUUUCAGGGCACUUCUACCCACACCCUGGCACCAAAUAUCUGCGACGGGAGCGAGGCCAGCAGGAGAAUUUCCAGAAGUUCUAGGUCACAUCAAGUGCGAUACUUCAGAUUCUCUCAGCAGAUUCAUCGUAACACAAAAGGGAACCGCCCCCGCAGCAGCUUUCCUUAGCAGCGGAUCGUCCCCUCGCACAGAUUCACUUCAGAGAGAUAAGACGAGGGCUGUGGUCACAGAGGGGAUAAAAACAGGGCGGUGGGGUAGGAUUCACACCGGUUAGGGGUUUUGAGUCAGCUAUGCGGGGGGGAAGGUUUGAGAAAUGGCCUCUGGGGCCACAGUGCGGGAAAGGCUCACUUUAGCUAACAAUGCUGAGGGGGGCAGGGCAGAGCAGUCCCAGGGUGUGUUGUCACUUGUCUCUUGUGCUUUCUAUAUCUUCUGUACAUCUCGUGUAGCAUAUCUCUUGUCUUAGCCCUCCCAGGAGCUUAUAAGAAACCCCAGCUCCUUCUGUUCAUCUCCCAUCUUUGCGUUCCUCGGCCCGGCACCGGCGAAGCUUCUAUGCGGGAGUUCGGACAGGCGUCAGAAUCGCAUCUGUCUUUAGAAGCGUGUGAUCGGAUGUUUUUUUAGGUCUCGUUCUCAGCUGUGUCAACAGCUAUAUGCAGCAGUGUUUCUUUACAGUGGAUAAGGACUUGUGCCGAUUCAAAGGCAGGCAGAGGCUUCCAGCCACAGGAUUCUCAGGCAUCUGUCUCUGCGGUUCUUGGAAAACAGUUGUUCCGUUAGCAUCUUUUCCCUCCAGGGUCAUCUGAUCCCGGCAGGCUCGCCUCGGGUCCCUCCUCGGUCAUCUCGUUCAGCAUUCUCUCGGUCCUCGUCAGGACUUUCUUGUCUCAGAGAGUUUUCUCUCCCUGUCACGUCCCCUCGUGUCACGGGUGUCUGGGGGUAUUUGGUCCGGAGCUGCUCUGCCCUGGCGCCCAGCCCGGUUGUAGGUGUUUAAGGACAAGUCCCGGGCACUUGUAAUUGGAGAUUUGUAAUACGGGCUGUAGUUGGAGUCUAGCUGGUAUUCUUAUGUUGGCAGCAGGUGUCUGGAGCUGUGAAGUUACCCUGCAGCACUUUGACUUUUUUCCUAACUUUCUUUCAGAUUCAGACAGAUUGACCUCCUGGCAGAACACCUGUCCCAGAU